This 400-nucleotide ribosomal RNA is filed under the name uncultured bacterium. RNAcentral's name for it is "bacterial SSU rRNA". It matches the Rfam family "Bacterial small subunit ribosomal RNA", at positions 356 to 773 of the family's 1533-position model. The record is from RNAcentral.
GGGGGAUAUUGCACAAUGGAGGAAACUCUGAUGCAGCAACGCCGCGUGAGGGAAGACGGUUUUCGGAUUGUAAACCUCUGUCCUCAGGGACGAUAAUGACGGUACCUGAGGAGGAAGCUCCGGCUAACUACGUGCCAGCAGCCGCGGUAAUACGUAGGGAGCAAGCGUUGUCCGGAUUUACUGGGUGUAAAGGGUGCGUAGGCGGCCCUGCAAGUCAGGCGUGAAAGGCGGAGGCUUAACCUCCGAGCUGCGUUUGAAACUGUGGGGCUUGAGUGGAGCAGAGGCAGGCGGAAUUCCCGGUGUAGCGGUGAAAUGCGUAGAGAUCGGGAGGAACACCAGUGGCGAAGGCGGCCUGCUGGGCUUUAACUGACGCUGAGGCACGAAAGCAUGGGUAGCAAAC